GAGUGUGUGUGUGUGUGUGUGUGUGUGUGUGUUGCUGCAAGAUGCAGCGCAUCUGCCCUCAUGCAGA
Molecule: microRNA precursor, 67 nt
Filed under: Tetraodon nigroviridis (spotted green pufferfish)
Lineage: Eukaryota; Metazoa; Chordata; Actinopteri; Tetraodontiformes; Tetraodontidae
Description: miRNA (ENSTNIG00000020236.1)
Source: RNAcentral